Molecule: long non-coding RNA, 3940 nt
Organism: Ricinus communis (castor bean)
Lineage: Eukaryota; Viridiplantae; Streptophyta; Magnoliopsida; Malpighiales; Euphorbiaceae
Exons: 4
Source: RefSeq, a predicted model, not a curated record
UUGCAUAAUCGAAUGAGUUGGAUUUGAAAAGAGUGAGUUGUCGAAGCAAAAAGAAAAAAGAAAAUUAAUAUUGUUAUGUCUUCAAGCAUAAAAAAGUAUGUAUAAUAUAUUUCUUUUAAUAUACUAGGGAUUGAAGUUGGGUUAGGGUUUAGGAAUAAAAAGAUAAGAAUGGCAUGGAUUUUAGUGUAUUGUAGUGUUUGUGUGUGUUUUUACAAAGAUUUUUUUUAUAUGUUUGUGUGUUUUUAUUUGUUCUGUCAUUUUUUAGGGUUAAUUCUUUUUGUUUAUGUCAAUUUUAUAAUUACAGGCACUUCAUUGAUGUGUUUUUUGGUGGGGUUUUCUUUAGUGAGUAUGGCAGUAGCUUGAUGUAUGUGGGGGGAAAUAAAUGAGAAUGGUGAUUGAUGUGGAUUAUUUUUCUUCUCUCAUUUGAAGAAAUAAUGAAAAAUAUGGUAAGGAGAAUUAGGAGUUCAACAAAAAUGCACUUUAGAACAUUAGUCAAAGUAUGACACAUGGGUUGAGACUUUUAUACGAGUUUUUUUAGUGAGGACAUGGUGAAAACAGUGAAGGAGCACAACUCAGUGGAAGUAUAUAAUAAGCAUAAGUCAUUGAAGGAAUCUUUGAGGGGCAAGUUUGUAAUUUCAUCUUCUAGGGAUGGAAUGUGUGACCUAACCGUAAAUGAAGAUGUUAGUGGUUCAAGUUGCAUAAAGGAGGUGGGUGGGAAAAUAAAUGAGGCGGCCACAAGUAGUGAGGCUUGUGUUGAACAUCUAAAGCAUAUAUUUGAUCAUACAGACCAAGGUGUGAUAAAUGUCAAGAAAGAAUAGAGGUUGGUGAACAGAUAGAGGGAGUGAACCAUGCAGAUCAGGAUGGUGAGCAGACAGAGGGAGUGAACUAGGCAGAUCAAGGUGGUGAGUAGACAGAGGGUGAACCAGGGAGAUCAGGGUGGUGAGCAGACAAAACAAACUGAGCCUACUAUUGAGCAAAUUGAAGUUGCUGAUGAAGGUGAUUUUGGUGAGGAUGAAGAUAUAGAUUCUGAUGAAGAGAUUAUUGAGUGUGAAUGGUUUAGUGAUGAUGAUGAUGAAUUACGCGAAGCUAGGAAUGUUGUAAGGGAAUUUAGGAAGAAAAAGUAUAGUAAAGAUAAGAAUGUGGUUGGCAUUGGGAAUUCUUAUAAUGGAGUUUCUGUUGGCGGAAGUGCAGUUGAUGGAAUAACUAAAUAUGUUGCUCAAAAAAGAAAAUAGAUUAGGAUUGUAAGAAGUACAAAAGAGGAAGUAAGGGCUAAGUCUGUGAAGAAUUCUUGUCCUUGGGUGAUCUAUGCCUCCAAGGACUCCAACAGCUAAAGGUUUCUUAUAAAGACUUAUAUAGCUGAGUAUAACUGCGCUAUUACUUACAAGAAUAGGAGAAUGAAUACUAAAUGGAUUACAAAGAAUUACCUUAUAAAGUACAAAUCACUUGCACGCAUGAAGCUAACAGAUUUGAAAGAAGUGGUGAAAGAAGAUUUAAAACAUGAAGUGAGCUUGACUAAGAUGAGGAGAGAAAAGAUGUGUGUGUUAGCACAUUUUUAAGGUGAUUUGAAGAAAAAAGUUCGAAUUGCUAUGGGAUUACUUAGGUUAGAUCAACAGGUUCAAUGUUGGCUCUAUAAUUGAGAUGAAAGUUUACAAACCAAUUCCAGAUCAACUUCUAGUGUUUUCAAAGACUGUAUAUUUCAUUUGAUUGCUUAAAGAAAGGAUUGUUGAAUGGUUAUAGAAGGGUGUUAGGAUUGGAUAGUUGUUUUUCUAAAAGGAGCUAUUAAAAGAGAAGUGUUAUCUGCUGUUGGGAGGGAUGGGAACAAUCAAAUGUUCCCUGUGGCCUGGGCAGUAGUUGACACUUAGAGAAAAGAGACUUGGGACUAGUUUUCAUAACUAUUUAUAAAGGAUUUGAAAAUGGAGGAUGGGAGCGGCUGGUGUAUUAUUACAGAUUAACAAAAGGACCUUUUAGAUUAUAUACAGAAUUUACUCCCUAGUACUGAAGAAAGAUGUUGUACAAGACAUCUUUAUGUAAAUUGGAGAAAGAGACAUGGGGGGAGGAAAUACUUGCAAAAGCAGUUCUGGAUGUGUGUGAAAUUAACUAAGAUGCCAAAUUUUGAUGCCAAUAUGAAAGAGCUGAAAAGGUUAACUCCAAGUGGUUUCGAUGACAUCCUAAAAACUUAUCCUCGCCAUUAGUAUAAAGCGUAUUUUACAAUUGAGGUAAAGUGUGAUAUAGUAGACAAUAAUCUCAUUGAAGCUUAUGAUUGAGACUAGGACCAAGAAUAUAAUAUCUAUACUAGAAGAUAUUAGGAGGUUAGUGAUGACUAGAUUAGUUACAAAUAGAGAUAUGACUGCUAAAUAGAUUGGUGAUUUUGGAAUAGAAUUAGGAAGAAAUGGCAUGAUAGUAUAUUGGAACGUGCAUUAUGCCAAGUCAUUUGGAAUGUGGAUGAGGGGAUUGAGAUUGCAUACAAGGGGAUACUUAUUUUGUAGACUUGAGUCAAAUUACUUGCCCAUGUAAAUGACAGCUGACCAACAUACCCUAUCAUCAUGCCAUUUGUGCAAAUUUACAUAUAGAUCAUAAUCCUGAGGACUUUGUGGACUACAUUUAUAGGAAAGACACCCUAUGAAACCUAUGAAUAGCAAGAAAUUUAGGAGUAAGACAAAUAAAAAUCCACCCCAGCCUCCUCCAAUUAAAAAAAAAUGCUUGGUAAACCUGCUAGAAAUAAAAGAAUGGAGGAUGGAGAGAGUACAAGUGGGUAUAAACUGUCUAGAAGGGGGUAGGGUUAUUGACCUAUCAAGUAUGCUUCGAGAAAGUUCAUAAUAAGAAAACUUGUCGAGUGUUCAAGAGCAUGAAGGCUCAAUCACAUGAUACACAAAAUCAGAUUCCAUUUGAGCAAUCAAAAUUACAGCCUACUGUUAGGGUCACUCAACCAUCUAGAAUUCAAAGUUGCAGGUAAGAGGAAGGAAAGGCAAAUCUGGCAUUCAAAAUUAUUCAAGGCAUAGCCAGCCCCAACAGGACCAAGAACCAACAAAUGAAGGUGCACCAUUAAAUGCCACUCCAAUUUUUGUAAGUGAGGAUAGGCAGCAUGCUUCAAGGGACGCCAAUGACCAAAUUGGCUAUAGAAGGUCUCAAAGUUAUUUCUACUAUUCAAAGAGAAUUAAUGCAGGCAGAAAUUAUAUUCCAAGGCUUAUUGAUCAACCUGUUGCAGGAUAUGGUGUAUAUACAAACUCUACAGGGAAUGUGGUAAUCAAUAUAUGUAAUUUAUCUUUAUUAAUCUGUUAAAUAAUUAUUAAUUUUUUUUAUAUAAAAUGGAUUUUCAAUUAAUUUAUAAACUUACUUUCCAACCAAAAACUAGUUCAUAAAGAGUUAUCUAUAAGGAUGGAAUGAGAAGAGUUGGCAAUGAGGCAGAGCCUGCCUUUAUGACUGAACAAAGAGUAGGAUUCAAUAAGUGGGGUAGGAAAUUCAUUACAAGAAGUCAGUUACAGGCAUCUAAAAAACCAAAGUCAGAAGAGAAAAAUCCACUCCUCAAAAAGUGAUCAAAACAGAAAGGGUAAACAAGCCAAGACUAACAACAUAGAAACACUUUCAACAGUAGCAAAAGUUGUCAACUUAUCUCAAGAGGCACCACAAUUUUCAAUAUUAACUCAAGAGUCUAUAAAGUCACUCCUACAGUGAAGAAGAUAUGAAGAAUAUUUAUGCAAAAGCUUCUUAUUUUGCCAUUUUGUGUUGAUAUGUUAUUUUUUCCUUUUUAAGGUGAAUUGGACAUGUACUUGUUAGGUACAACUUUUAUGUUUUGCUUAUAUGCUUCUUAUGAAGCUUUUUUGGUAAACAAUCUAAGGCAGUGGACUACUUGUGUUAGCUACAAUCUAAGGCAGUGUACCUAUCGAUGCAGUCUAGCACUAAUGGCGAGUAUCAAGGUCAUAUUCCUCGGAAAAAUGAAAGC